Molecule: ribosomal RNA, 253 nt
Filed under: uncultured bacterium
Lineage: Bacteria
Description: partial 16S ribosomal RNA
Rfam family: Bacterial small subunit ribosomal RNA
Source: RNAcentral
UACAGAGGGGGCAAGCGUUGUUCGGAAUUACUGGGCGUAAAGGGUGCGUAGGCGGCCGCCUAAGUCAGACGUGAAAUCCCUCGGCUCAACCGGGGAACUGCGUCUGAUACUGGGUGGCUUGAAUCCGGGAGAGGGAUGCGGAAUUCCAGGUGUAGCGGUGAAAUGCGUAGAUAUCUGGAGGAACACCGGUGGCGAAGGCGGCAUCCUGGACCGGCAUUGACGCUGAGGCGCGAAAGCCAGGGGAGCAAACGGG